This 1594-nucleotide ribosomal RNA is filed under the name Sillago sihama (northern whiting). Its description in RNAcentral is "partial 16S ribosomal RNA". It matches the Rfam family "Bacterial large subunit ribosomal RNA", at positions 216 to 2806 of the family's 2925-position model. Lineage: Eukaryota; Metazoa; Chordata; Actinopteri; Sillaginidae. The record is from RNAcentral.
AAACCAUUUUUCCCCCUUAGUAUGGGCGACAGAAAAGGGACUCGAGAAGCAAUAGAGAAAGUACCGUAAGGGAAUGCUGAAAGAGAAAUGAAAUAAAUCAAUAAGCAAUAAAAAGCAGAGAUCUACCCUCGUACCUUUUGCAUCAUGAUUUAGCCAGUAAACCUUAAGCAAAGAGCACUUUAGUUUAAUACCCCGAAACUACGGUGAGCUACUCCGAGACAGCCUAUAAUAGGGCGCAUCCGUCUCUGUGGCAAAAGAGUGGAAAGAGCUCCGAGUAGUGGUGACAGACCUAUCGAACCUAGUUAUAGCUGGUUGCCUGAGAAAUGGAUAGGAGUUCAGCCUCAUGGCUUCUCACCUCAGACCCCACUUGUUGGCUCAAGAUAACUAAAGAAACCAUGAGAGUUAGUCAAAGGAGGCACAGCUCCUUUGAUUUAAGAUACAACUUUUAAAGAAGGGUAAAGAUCAUAUUCCAUUAAGGCUUAGUGUCCUGGUGGGCCUAAGAGCAGCCACCCAUACGAAAAGCGUUAAAGCUCAAGCACGUUAGCCCCCCUACUAUAAUGAUAACAGCAUCUUAACCCCCUAAACCCUAUCAGGCCGCUCCAUGCCUCCAUGGAAGCGAUUAUGCUAAAAUGAGUAAUAAGAGAGCUCGACUCUCUCCCCGCACACGUGUACCUCGACCCGGACCAACCAUCGAAUUUUAACGGCCCCCACAACAGAGGGAAAUGAACAAUGAAAUAAAUUACAAGGAAAACACUCAAAAGCUUUCCCGCACCGUUAACCCUACACUGGAGUGCCCCUUGGGAAAGACUAAAAGAAAAAGAAGGAAUUCAGCAAACACCUAGAGCCUCGCCUGUUUACCAAAAACAUCGCCUCUUGCAAAAUUGACAAAUAAGAGGUCCCGCCUGCCCUGUGACCAGAGUGUUUAACGGCCGCGGUAUCCUAACCGUGCGAAGGUAGCGCAAUCACUUGCUCUUUAAAUGGGGGCCCGUAUGAAUGGCGUAACGAGGGCUUAACUGUCUCCUUUUUCAGGUCAAUGAAUUUGAUCUCCCCGUGCAGAAGCGGGGAUGAUACCAUAAGACGAGAAGACCCUAUGGAGCUUUAGACACCAAGGCAGACCACGUUAAUCACCCCCCGUUAAGGGGUUAAACUGUUUGGCUACUGCCCUAAUGUCUUCGGUUGGGGUGACCAUGAGGGAAAACAAAGCCCCCGUGCGGAACGAGAAUACUAUUUCUCCUAACCAAGAGUUUCAACUCUAAUAAUCAGAACCUCUGACUUAAGUGAUCCGGCAAUGCCGAUCAACGGACCAAGUUACCCUAGGGAUAACAGCGCAAUCCUCUUUUAGAGCCCAUAUCGACAAGGGGGUUUACGACCUCGAUGUUGGAUCGGGACAUCCUAAUGGCGCAGCCGCUAUUAAGGGUUCGUUUGUUCAACGAUUAACAGUCCUACGUGAUCUGAGUUCAGACCGGAGUAAUCCAGGUCGGUUUCUAUCUAUGUUGUGAUUUUUUCUAGUACGAAAGGACCGAAAAGAAGGGGCCCCUGUUUUAGACACGCCUCAUCCCUAACUGAUGAAUACAACUAAAAUAGAGAAAGGGAC